This 3331-nucleotide unclassified non-coding RNA is filed under the name Leishmania donovani. RNAcentral describes it as "gene:LdHU3.34.5540(CDS-product:hypothetical_prote in_conserved)". Lineage: Eukaryota; Euglenozoa; Kinetoplastea; Trypanosomatida; Trypanosomatidae. The record is from RNAcentral.
CCGUGUAUCACAGGGCCGCAAUUCCAAGACAAAAACUCCGUCCGCCCUGUUCUCUGCCAGAGGUGCUGCCAUUAUUAUUUUCUGCUUUUUUGACUAUUCUUGUGACGUUAUCAUCAUUUUGUUCGCUCCUUUUUCUGAAGCCUGUUCGCGUUUUUUCGUUUUUUUUUUCUCAGGUGUGUCUGGUCGAAAGCAGCACGGCACAGCCAUGCCAGCUGUCACGCUUGCGCAGCAAUGUAGAUUCCGGCAUGUGCUCUGGUGCGCUUGCCUUAUAGUUCUACUGGGCCUUUCGCUCGGCUCUUCACCGACACUUGUGACGGCUCAAGACGAGCCGGCGCGUGACGGCAUUGCGCCGCUGCCCGAGGGCGCGCAGCAGGCGGAGUUCGAGUUAGCCAUGCCAGUUCCUGUAGCAGAGUAUGUGGAUCCUGUAGGGCCUUCCGAGCGUCCUAGGGAAGCUGUCGUCGAGGUUUCGGUUGAGGUCCCGCUCGAUGACGGCGCUGUUGCCGAGCACGAUGUAUCGGAUGCACCACACGCUGAUGCUGAAGAGCAGAGAGUGAUUGAGGAGGCCAGGAUGGCUGAAGCGAGCCUAGAGGCCGCGGAGACGCGAAGGGACGUGCAGGCGGAGCGAGAAGAGGAUAGGCGACUCGAGGAAAAUGAGAGAACGGCGGCGGAAACGCAGAGCCCUUCAGAAGAAGCCGCAGCACAGAAGGCGGUGGAAACUCAAAGAUCCGUUGAAGCUGCAAUGGAGGAGGAGCCCUUUCCGUCGACGGUCCGUGUGUCGGCUGAGGAAAACGGUGCCCAGCCAUCAGGCAGUGGCGCUUUUCAUUCAGAAGACCUCGCGCAAGAAGCAGCGGUACACCAUGAUGAGCAGUUGCCACCGCCGGCUGACUCAGUGAUGGAGGUAGAGCCCUCAUCUUCAACGGAUGCCGCGACCCUCGACACGCAUUUGCCCACGAAAGAGAAGGGGAACAAACACAUGGCCGAGGGGACCAAGAGGGCAGAAGCUCAAAUCGCUGCGGAGGCGCAGCAGGCGGAUACGGCCCCUCACCUUGAGGAGAUGCCCAAGGCGGCCGAAGCCAGUGCGGCCGAAGAGGCGAAGCAGUUGGGGGAAACGAGGGUUGUCCAGGAGUUACAAAAAAAGGAGCAAGUCCGCAUAGCUGAAGAAGCGGCUCGGCAGGCCGAGGAGGCGGCUCGCCAGGCUGAAGCGGCUCUCCAAGCUGAGGAAGCGCAGAAAGAUGAGAAGGAAAGGCUUGCUGAGGAACGUCGCAAAGGCGAGGAGGCUCGCCUAGCACGAGAGGCACAACGCGCGGACGCGCAAAGGGCCGAAGAAGAAGCGCGACGUGCAGAAACGAGGAGGAAGGCGGAGGAGAAACGUCAGGUUGAUGCGGCAGAGGCCCAAAGGCGGCUGAAGACAGAACGGAAGCCGGUGGUUGCCAAGAUAGACGAGGAAAGGGUGCGGUUCCGGACAGCCGCAUCCGACCUCAUAACACAGCAGGAGGUGGCGAAGUCGUCUGCGGCGCGGCGCCACAGGGCCGUCGCCACCGAACUGCAGAAGUCCAUGGAGAAAAAGCUCGAGGCCCUCCAGCAAGAUCUCGUCACGCUGGGGCGUGUCUCGGUGACGCUUCGCGGCAGGGUGAGCGCGCUCUUGCACAGUAGUACACUUACGCAGGUGCAGGAGGACGCCCAGGCGUUGGAUGAGGUGGUGGUGAAGGCGGGUGAGACGCUCGAUAGCAUUCGCGAGGCCGCCGACUCACUCGCGGAUGCGGCGCGUGCGGCUGUGGGGAAUCAGAAAGACGCCCCUGCUACAACCGCAGAGAAGAUCACGCUACUAGCGAAGCAGAAGAUGGCACUGGAAACUGCCCGCGACGCUGCAAUCCAGCACUUCCUGGAGCGCCUGCAGGCCAUUGACUCACAGCUUGUAGAGGCGGCGGAGCAGACAGAGACAGAAGAGACAGCGGUUGCAGGGCCUGCCGAGGCUGCUGAGGGCCUGGCCACUCCUCCUCUGUCGCCUGUUGCACCUGCAGGAGUGGAGGCACCACAAGAGGUAGUGUCGCUGCCCUCCGAGGCUCCCCGACCAGUGGGGACCUCCACACAUGCUCCGACUCCCUCCGCUCCCCGAGCAGAGCCAUGGGUGAACUCGCCAAAGCACGCAGAGGAGAGCCACAGCCGAUACCGCGGCGAGCUGAGCGAAACGCCGGCAAAUCGGGGCGGGGAAGAAGGCUACAGCGAAAGCAGUUACGAGGCCUACCACCGCGAGGGCGGCGCACCGUACAAGGUGAAGCGGCACAUGGAGAUUGCUGGCACAGUGGUGGUGAUUACUAUCGCUGCAACCGUGCAGACCCUCCGCUGGUGCCGCAGCGGGUGUCGCUGUGGCGAGGAGGAGGAUGAGGAGACCUCCGAGGAUGUGACACCAGAACUUCAAGCAAGAGAGACAUCCUUGGCAUCCCCACAGAAGUCGCCCCCUCAGAGCGGCGGACCGUUGCAGCAGCGGCCGCAGGCAUCACCGCUGUCUACGUUGCGACCUCGCGGAGCCAACGCAGGACCCGACCGAAAUGGCAUGGAGUUGCCGAGUCGCUGGGAAAGCGGCAACAUUCCGCCUCCGUCGCAGCGCGGCACGCCAUCCGCCUCUUCCGAGCAAAUGCGCUUGCCUGCCGAGGAGGGCGACAUCCUUUCGCCGACACCCGUGUUGCGUCACCACCCGGACGCCUUUCCGCUCGGUGCCCCGGUGCCGGGCAGGCCUGGAGUCACCCGAAGACCUCCACAUGGGACCCCGCCUCUCGACACUGCACGCGCGCCGCCACCCCCGGGUACGACAUCCCCAUUUACGCCGUCUCGAAACGAGGCACUGGGCAUAUCUCUUACUCCCACGCAGCGGCAGCUGCCGCUACCUGGCGGGCAGUUUGGUGGCCCGUCUUCGCCACCACUGUCGGGCCACCCGUCAAUGGCGGGAACACCACUGCAGAUGCACCGCCGCCAAAGCAAUGGUGACGACUUUGAGCUGCGCAACCCCUUUCUCUCGCGUUGGUCGUAGAAGAGCAGGGGGCGUGGCGUUUCAAGGUAGGAGGGUGUUAUUGUGCUGAAGUCUCUCUGUCUUCCACUCUCUUUGUGGACGGAAACCCGAGGGCACGGGCUUGGACGGCGGUGCUGCUGGUCUCGCCUCCCGUUCCCUCUUUAAAUCUGCUGGCAUGGCGGUUGACUGCUGUGCAUCGGACCAUCGUUUCUCGUCGCCUCCUUUUUUUUCGAUUUCGCUUCUCUUUUUUCAAAUCCUUUCCUCUCCAUGCUUUCCGCUUCUUCUCUGGUUGCAUUGCUGCCGCGUGGUGUCUUGUGCGUGACG